GGGCCCGCACAAGCGGUGGAGCAUGUGGUUUAAUUCGAUGAUACGCGAGGAACCUUACCCGGGCUUGAAAUUGAGCGGAAUGGCGAUGAAAGUUGCCAGUCAGCAAUGACCGCUUAGUAGGUGCUGCAUGGUUGUCGUCAGCUCGUGCCGUGAGGUGUCGGCUUAAGUGCCAUAACGAGCGCAACCCUUGCCAAUAGUUACCAGCAGUAAGAUGGGGACUCUAUUGGGACUGCCACCGUAAGGUGUGAGGAAGGUGGGGAUGACGUCAAAUCAGCACGGCCCUUACGUCCGGGGCGACACACGUGUUACAAUGGGUGGUACAGAGGGUUGCUACUGCGCGAGCAGAUGCCAAUCUCCAAAAACCAUUCUCAGUUCGGAUCGGAGUCUGCAACUCGACUCCGUGAAGCUGGAUUCGCUAGUAAUCGCGCAUCAGCCAUGGCG
RNAcentral lists this ribosomal RNA (441 nucleotides) under uncultured Bacteroidota bacterium. RNAcentral's name for it is "bacterial SSU rRNA". It matches the Rfam family "Bacterial small subunit ribosomal RNA", at positions 917 to 1359 of the family's 1533-position model. Lineage: Bacteria; Pseudomonadati; Bacteroidota. The record is from RNAcentral.